GGCAGCGCGAGUUCGCGGUGGGUCUGGGGCGGACACAGGCUGUGCCUUGUGGGAGCCGAGGAGGAGCCAGGGGCGGAGGGCCUGGGGAGGAGAGCAGGCUCGAGCCCGUGGGGCAGUCUCCCUGCGCACGCUCUCUUGCCUGCCGCCAUGUAAGACGUGACUUUGCUUCUCCACCUUCCGCCACGAUUGUGAGGCCUCUUCAGCCACGUGGAACUGCUGAGGCUUCCAGGCCAAUGCUAAGAAGAGUGUGGUCCAGGGCCCUUGUCUCCUUUCCAUCUCCAGAGGAAGUCUUCCUGUGCCUCAGUAAACUUUCUGAUCUUCAUGCAAGUCCUGCGCCUGGCUGGGUGGGCUUUCCUAAGGCAAGUCCCUGUGUACUGUCCUGA
Long non-coding RNA from Gorilla gorilla gorilla (western lowland gorilla), 383 nucleotides. RefSeq lists it as uncharacterized. The record is from RefSeq and is a predicted model, not a curated record. The transcript is spliced from 3 exons. NCBI's taxonomy places the organism in Eukaryota, Metazoa, Chordata, Mammalia, Primates, Hominidae.